Molecule: ribosomal RNA, 187 nt
Filed under: uncultured rumen bacterium
Lineage: Bacteria
Description: partial 16S ribosomal RNA
Rfam family: Bacterial small subunit ribosomal RNA
Source: RNAcentral
UACGGGAGGCAGCAGUGAGGAAUAUUGGUCAAUGGGCGAGAGCCUGAACCAGCCAAGUAGCGUGCAGGAUGACGGCCCUAUGGGUUGUAAACUGCUUUUAUACAGGGAUAAAGUGCACUACGUGUAGUGUUUUGUAGGUACUGUAUGAAUAAGGACCGGCUAAUUCCGUGCCAGCAGCCGCGGUAAU